GCGGUGGCUCUGCGGGAGCGGAGCGCUCCUCUGCGCCGCUGACCUGCCCGGGGCCCUCCAUGGGAGCCGAGGGGAGAGGUAGCACCGCUCACACGCACCGAGGAUCGCAGCUUUGCACCGGAGGGCUCAGGGCCUCGGCUGCUGGUUCCUUAGUAGACGGGUCCUGCAAAUCCCGCUACUUUCCUCCGGCGUAUGUUGAGGCCAAAAGGGAAACUACUGCCACCCGAGCCUCCCUUCUGGAAAAGUCUUACAGGACUCAGGCGGAGGGAAACCAACACAGAAGUGACUCGGAAAGCAUGAUGGCAAAUGAUUAAUCAAAUCAGAGACAGGAAGGCGGAGGUAAUCAAUGAGUUUUCACUUAUAGUUUACUUGGAUGGACAUAUUUUUCCUUUUUCUUUCCGUAAGUUUAGAAACCACACGGGGUUUUAUUGGCCAAACAAGCAGCUGGAGGAUUUGGUGGGCUGGUGGGAAUUCGUUCAGGAUCAGCUGCAUGUUUCCUGAAGAAGAAUUUGGCUUUUGACAAAACCUCAUGCUUGUUCCCGCCCCAGGCAUACGGCGCCGGGCACCGGGCAGGGCUGCGCCCCGCGGGACCCCGCCUGUCCCCUGCGGGGACCCGCCCGCGCUCCCGGAAAGAGGCAGGCGAGGACCACGGAUCGGGAAAGCAUCGGCAGCGAAGGAGAGCCUUGCUCUCCCUCAAGCUGCACAGUGCGCAAAUACCCUGAGAAAUCUCAUCAGGUACGAUUUUAAAGUGAAACACCGGCUCUCCCUGCUCUGCCCUUGAGAGAAGGUUUGCGAGCUGUGUAAGGCCUUUUCCCGUUAUGAAACGACGGCAGGCGGAACGCCACCUCGCCCUGCCGUGCCGGAGGCGCCAAACUCCGUUUUCCCUGAGGGCACAUGCGGGUGCGGGCACACAGGUGGCUCCUGACACCGGCGGGAGCUCCUGGCUUCCCAGCUGGGCUCCGUAAACCCUACGGUUUUGCUGGCAGAUUAAUUGUUUGCCUACUUUCGUUUCAUUUCUUUCUCCCUCCAAAAGAACUUUCCCCCCGCUCUACACGAAUAACAGAUUCGGAGAGAUCACGAAAUAACGGGAUGGAAUUUCACCUUUCUCGUUCACAGUGACCAUUUUCGAUGGCACGAUGGCAUCAUUUUCGGGACCCUCGAGGGACAUGUCACUGACAACUGAUGGGCAAUCUGGCGUUUGGCUGGGGCAGGGGCGUCUGCAGAAAAACCGCAGAGCUUCGCUAAAUGGGGUCUGGGAGAGGACAGGGUUCGUGAUUUACGAUUUUGCGGGGUAGCCUCCACUUCUUCGGGCAAGCAGUGCUUGCCAAGGUGCGGGUUUGGAGGCACGUUGCCGGCCCGCCGGAGAGAAGAGUUACUGAGUUACUGAGUUAAGAGUUGCAGAUAUGUCGCCCGUUUCCCCGUUUUUUCCCAGCGAUAACUGUGACUCUUUUCAUUACUAUCGUUUUGUUCCUCAAAAACCCAAACAAAAGUACAAGGCGAAGCUGAACACAUCAUGAGGCGUAAUGUUCUAAGUUAUCAAAAGGGGGAAGAAGCAAAAAAGAGUCACUCAUUACUGAUCUCUCUUUUUCAGGUGUUGCUUUUAACAAGAUGUUCAGAAAAAAAUUGACCUGCAGUUCCUCUGCUCCUGACUUUGGAGGUGAUAUCGCUUGAUGCUUAUCAGCCACAACACCUGAGGCAUUUGGUACGAGGCUCCUGACUGCUCCCCACGCUCGGGUACGAGUGGUCCUUGCUGCACGAAGGCUGCCCCGCAUCCAGCUCCUCAUCCAGCCCCUCAUCCAGCCCCGCAUCGAACCCUGCAUCCAGCUCCUCAUACAACUCCACAUCCAAUUCCGCAUCCAACUCCGCAUCCAGUCCCGCAUCCAGCCCCGCAUCCAGUCCCGCAUCCAGCCCCGCAUCCAACCCCGCAUCCAGUCCCGCAUCCAUCCCUGCAUCCAACCCCGCAUGCAGCCCCGCAUCCAACCCCGCAUGCAACUCCAUAUCCAGCCCUGCAUCCAGUCCCGCAUCCAUCCCUGCAUCCAACCCCGCAUCCAGCUCCGCAUCCAGCCCAAGAGGAGCUGCUGGCAGCCCCGGCCGACAAUCAGAAGCAGCGCCGGUAACGGCUCGCAAAGCCC
Long non-coding RNA from Ficedula albicollis (Collared flycatcher), 2132 nucleotides. The record is from Ensembl. NCBI's taxonomy places the organism in Eukaryota, Metazoa, Chordata, Aves, Passeriformes, Muscicapidae.